UACUUCUAAACAGCCGUUCGGCCAAGUUUCUGUGAGCUACAAGAAAUGAUGGUAUCUUUCAAUAAACAAUGAUUGGCGUUGCAUAAAGCAAGCGUAUGAAUGGAAUAUUGAGCUAUUAAAAAUAAUAUAAAUAUGCAAUUUCAAACGUUUUCGGCUUUUAAAAGUGGAACGUGGCACAUUUAAUCAACGUAAAUCAUUUUUUUUUUACCUAUAGAAGUUUACCCAAAAAUUGAUACCAAGUAUUAGCUUUAUUAACUAAUUACUUUUGGUAAAGCGGUAGAACCUAUUCGACGAAAUAUCAAUCAAAUUACCAAGUACGAUCUUGUCGCUCACUCAUUACCCAAAAAAUCAUAGAAAGGACGAUCCAAAUAUGUGUGCAUAUUGCUUAUAAUUAACUCGUUU
Non-coding RNA from Schizosaccharomyces pombe (fission yeast), 402 nucleotides. Lineage: Eukaryota; Fungi; Ascomycota; Schizosaccharomycetes; Schizosaccharomycetales; Schizosaccharomycetaceae. The record is from the annotation of a GenBank genome assembly.